This 468-nucleotide ribosomal RNA is filed under the name uncultured bacterium. RNAcentral describes it as "partial 16S ribosomal RNA". It matches the Rfam family "Bacterial small subunit ribosomal RNA", at positions 28 to 507 of the family's 1533-position model. The record is from RNAcentral.
GACGAACGCUGGCGGCGUGCUUAACACAUGCAAGUCGAACGGAAAGGCCCUGCUUUUGUGGGGUGCUCGAGUGGCGAACGGGUGAGUAACACGUGAGUAACCUGCCCUUGACUUUGGGAUAACUUCAUGAAACUGGGGCUAAUACCUGAUAGGAGCUCCUGCUGCAUGGUGGGGGUUGGAAAGUUUCGGCGGUUGGGGAUGGACUCGCGGCUUAUCAGCUUGUUGGUGGGGUAGUGGGUUACCAAGGCUUUGACGGGUAGCCGGCCUGAGAGGGUGACCGGCAACAUUGGGACUGAGAUACGGACCAGACUCCUACGGGAGGCAACAGUGGGGAAUAUUGCACAAUGGGCGGAAGCCUGAGGCAGCAACGUCGCGUGCGGGAUGACGGCCUUCGGGUUGUAAACCGCUUUCGCCUGUGACGAAGCGUGAGUGACGGUAAUGGGUAAAGAAGCACCGGCUAACUACGUG